UACGAAGGGUGCUAGCGUUGUUCGGAAUUACUGGGCGUAAAGCGCGCGUAGGCGGCUUUUCAAGUCAGGGGUGAAAUCCCACAGCUCAACUGUGGAAUUGCCUUUGAAACUGUAAGCUAGAGUGUCGGAGGGGAUAGCGGAAUUGCUAAUGUAGAGGUGAAAUUCGUAGAUAUUAGCAGGAGCACCGGUGGCGAAGGCGGCUAUCUGGACGACAACUGACGCUGAGGCGCGAAAGCGUGGGGAGUCAAACAG
Molecule: ribosomal RNA, 252 nt
Filed under: uncultured bacterium
Lineage: Bacteria
Description: partial 16S ribosomal RNA
Rfam family: Bacterial small subunit ribosomal RNA
Source: RNAcentral